CGCGGGGUGGAGCAGUUCGGUAGCUCGCUGGGCUCAUAACCCAGAGGUCGCAGGUUCAAAUCCUGUCCCCGCUACCA
Molecule: transfer RNA, 77 nt
Filed under: Propioniferax innocua
Lineage: Bacteria; Bacillati; Actinomycetota; Actinomycetes; Propionibacteriales; Propionibacteriaceae
Also listed under: 363 other names
Description: tRNA-Met
Rfam family: tRNA
About the family: Transfer RNA (tRNA) molecules are approximately 80 nucleotides in length.
Source: RNAcentral